RNAcentral lists this ribosomal RNA (375 nucleotides) under uncultured bacterium. Its description in RNAcentral is "bacterial SSU rRNA". It matches the Rfam family "Bacterial small subunit ribosomal RNA", at positions 524 to 898 of the family's 1533-position model. The record is from RNAcentral.
UACGGAGGGUGCAAGCGUUAAUCGGAAUUACUGGGCGUAAAGCGCACGCAGGCGGUCUGUCAAGUCGGAUGUGGAAUCCCCGGGCUCAACCUGGGAACUGCAUUCGAAACUGGCAGGCUGGAGUCUUGUAGAGGGGGGUAGAAUUCCAGGUGUAGCGGUGAAAUGCGUAGAGAUCUGGAGGAAUACCGGUGGCGAAGGCGGCCCCCUGGACAAAGACUGACGCUCAGGUGCGAAAGCGUGGGGAGCAAACAGGAUUAGAUACCCUGGCAGUCCACGCUGUAAACGAUGUCGACUUGGAGGUUGUUCCCUUGAGGAGUGGCUUCCGGAGCUAACGCGUUAAGUCGACCGCCUGGGGAGUACGGCCGCAAGGUUAAA